This 109-nucleotide ribosomal RNA is filed under the name Bacteroidales bacterium. The record is from RNAcentral. Lineage: Bacteria; Pseudomonadati; Bacteroidota; Bacteroidia; Bacteroidales.
UUGGGUGACUAUUGCGAUGGGGAACCACCUCUUACCAUUCCGAACAGAGAAGUUAAGCCCAUCUGCGCCGAUGGUACUGCAUUUGUGGGAGAGUAGGUCGUUGCCUGAC